CGGUAGGUGGGGGAAUAAGGACCGGGCCUACUACGUGGCAGCAGUCCGCGGUUAAUACGUAGGUCCGAGCGUUGUCCGAAAUAUUGGGCGUAAAGAGCUCGUAGGCGGCAUGUCGCGUCUGCUGUGAAAAGACCGGGGCUUUAACUCCGAUUCUGCAGUGAUACGGGCAUGCUAGAGGUAGGUAGGGGAAACUGGAAUUUCCUGGUGUAGCGGUGAAAUGCGCAGAUAUCAGGAGGAACACCCGGUGGCGAAGGCGGGUUUCUGGGCCUUACCUGACGCUGAGGAGCGAAAGCAUGGGGAGCGAACAGGAUUAGAUAUCCUGGUAGUCCAUGCCGUAAACGUUGGGCGCUAGGUGUGGGGACUUUCCACGGUUUUCCGCGCCGUAGCUAACGCAUUAAGCGCCCCGCCUGGGGAGUACGGCCGCAAGGCUAAAACUCAAAGGAAUUGACGGGGGCCCGCACAAGCGGCGGAGCAUGUUGCUUAAUUCGACGCAACGCGAAGAACCUUACCAAGGUUUGACAUCACCCGUGGACCUGUAGAGAUACAGGGUCAUUUAGUUGGUGGGUGACAGGUGGUGCAUGGCUGUCGUCAGCUCGUGUCGUGAGAUGUUGGGUUAAGUCCCGCAACGAGCGCAACCCUUGUUCCAUGUUGCCAGCACGUAAUGGUGGGGACUCAUGGGAGACUGCCGGGGUCAACUCGGAGGAAGGUGGGGACGACGUCAAGUCAUCAUGCCCCUUAUGUCUUGGGCUGCAAACAUGCUACAAUGGCCGGUACAAUGGGCGUGCGAUACCGUAAGGUGGAGCGAAUCCCUUAAAGCCGGUCUCAGUUCGGAUUGGGGUCUGCAACUCGACCCCAUGAAGGUGGAGUCGCUAGUAAUCGCGGAUCAGCAACGCCGCGGUGAAUACGUUCCCGGGCCUUGUACACACCGCCCGUCACGUCAUGAAAGUCGGCAACACCCGAAACUUGUGGCCUAACCCUCGGGGAGGGAAGAGGAAGGUGGCUGGCGAUUGGC
Molecule: ribosomal RNA, 1012 nt
Filed under: Nocardiopsis sp. 8SM39
Lineage: Bacteria; Bacillati; Actinomycetota; Actinomycetes; Streptosporangiales; Nocardiopsidaceae
Description: bacterial SSU rRNA
Rfam family: Bacterial small subunit ribosomal RNA
Source: RNAcentral